UGCCAAUGGGCUUGAGGCAGCU
RNAcentral lists this non-coding RNA (22 nucleotides) under Rattus norvegicus (Norway rat). Lineage: Eukaryota; Metazoa; Chordata; Mammalia; Rodentia; Muridae. The record is from RNAcentral.